RNAcentral lists this ribosomal RNA (1489 nucleotides) under metagenome. Its description in RNAcentral is "bacterial SSU rRNA". It matches the Rfam family "Bacterial small subunit ribosomal RNA". The record is from RNAcentral.
UUUGAUCCUGGCUCAGAUUGAACGCUGGCGGCAUGCCUUACACAUGCAAGUCGAACGGCAGCGCGGGAGCAAUCCUGGCGGCGAGUGGCGAACGGGUGAGUAAUACAUCGGAACGUGCCCAAUCGUGGGGGAUAACGCAGCGAAAGCUGUGCUAAUACCGCAUACGAUCUACGGAUGAAAGCAGGGGAUCGCAAGACCUUGCGCGAAUGGAGCGGCCGAUGGCAGAUUAGGUAGUUGGUGAGGUAAAGGCUCACCAAGCCUUCGAUCUGUAGCUGGUCUGAGAGGACGACCAGCCACACUGGGACUGAGACACGGCCCAGACUCCUACGGGAGGCAGCAGUGGGGAAUUUUGGACAAUAGGCGAAAGCCUGAUCCAGCCAUGCCGCGUGCAGGAUGAAGGCCUUCGGGUUGUAAACUGCUUUUGUACGGAACGAAACGGCCUUUUCUAAUAAAGAGGGCUAAUGACGGUACCGUAAGAAUAAGCACCGGCUAACUACGUGCCAGCAGCCGCGGUAAUACGUAGGGUGCAAGCGUUAAUCGGAAUUACUGGGCGUAAAGCGUGCGCAGGCGGUUAUGUAAGACAGUUGUGAAAUCCCCGGGCUCAACCUGGGAACUGCAUCUGUGACUGCAUAGCUAGAGUACGGUAGAGGGGGAUGGAAUUCCGCGUGUAGCAGUGAAAUGCGUAGAUAUGCGGAGGAACACCGAUGGCGAAGGCAAUCCCCUGGACCUGUACUGUCGCUCAUGCACGAAAGCGUGGGGAGCAAACAGGAUUAGAUACCCUGGUAGUCCACGCCCUAAACGAUGUCAACUGGUUGUUGGGUCUUCACUGACUCAGUAACGAAGCUAACGCGUGAAGUUGACCGCCUGGGGAGUACGGCCGCAAGGUUGAAGCUCAAAGGAAUUGACGGGGACCCGCACAAGCGGUGGAUGAUGUGGUUUAAUUCGAUGCAACGCGAAAAACCUUACCCACCUUUGACAUGUACGGAAUUCGCCAGAGAUGGCUUAGUGCUCGAAAGAGAACCGUAACACAGGUGCUGCAUGGCUGUCGUCAGCUCGUGUCGUGAGAUGUUGGGUUAAGUCCCGCAACGAGCGCAACCCUUGUCAUUAGUUGCUACAUUCAGUUGGGCACUCUAAUGAGACUGCCGGUGACAAACCGGAGGAAGGUGGGGAUGACGUCAAGUCCUCAUGGCCCUUAUAGGUGGGGCUACACACGUCAUACAAUGGCUGGUACAAAGGGUUGCCAACCCGCGAGGGGGAGCUAAUCCCAUAAAACCAGUCGUAGUCCGGAUCGCAGUCUGCAACUCGACUCCGUGAAGUCGGAAUCGCUAGUAAUCGUGGAUCAGAAUGUCACGGUGAAUACGUUCCCGGGUCUUGUACACACCGCCCGUCACACCAUGGGAGCGGGUUCUGCCAGAAGUAGUUAGCUUAACCGCAAGGAGGGCGAUUACCACGGCAGGGUUCGUGACUGGGGUGAAGUCGUAACAAGGUA